GCUUUAGAAAGACGAGAAGACCCUAGAACCUGUUCUAUUCAUAUAGUUUGUUGGGGUGACAUUAUUCAAAACAAAUAACUAUUAAAACUAAUUAAUUGACUCCAUCUAUCUUUAUUAAAAUAAAAAAAGGUACUCUAGGGAUAACAGCAUAAUCUUCUUAUAGAGCCCUAAUCGACAAGAAAGAUUUUGACCUCGAUGUUGAAUUGAUAUUUCUUUCUAAAGCAGAAUUUUUUAAAGAGGGUCUGUUCGACCUCUAACUUAUCACGUGAUCUGAGUUCAAAC
This 282-nucleotide ribosomal RNA is filed under the name Armadillo officinalis (oak-woodland pillbug). Its description in RNAcentral is "partial large subunit ribosomal RNA". It matches the Rfam family "Bacterial large subunit ribosomal RNA", at positions 2079 to 2616 of the family's 2925-position model. The record is from RNAcentral. Lineage: Eukaryota; Metazoa; Arthropoda; Malacostraca; Isopoda; Armadillidae.